Cryptotermes secundus is the source of this 167-nucleotide long non-coding RNA. RefSeq lists it as uncharacterized. The transcript is spliced from 2 exons. Lineage: Eukaryota; Metazoa; Arthropoda; Insecta; Blattodea; Kalotermitidae. The record is from RefSeq and is a predicted model, not a curated record.
GGAGUUCUACUCACUAUCAGUCAACGCUUACUUCUGCAGAGAAGAUGAGGAACUUCCGGAUUCUUCUACUUGUUGCCGCCAUGGGACUGCUGCUACUUGCCGCUAUACCAGCACAGCAGCACUUCUUACCAAUCAACGGAAUAGGGAUUUCAAGCAAAUAAACUUGG